Molecule: transfer RNA, 77 nt
Filed under: Bacteroidetes bacterium ADurb.BinA104
Lineage: Bacteria; Pseudomonadati; Bacteroidota
Description: tRNA-Leu
Rfam family: tRNA
About the family: Transfer RNA (tRNA) molecules are approximately 80 nucleotides in length. Their secondary structure includes four short double-helical elements and three loops (D, anti-codon, and T loops). Further hydrogen bonds mediate the characteristic L-shaped molecular structure. tRNAs have two regions of fundamental functional importance: the anti-codon, which is responsible for specific mRNA codon recognition, and the 3' end, to which the tRNAs corresponding amino acid is attached (by aminoacyl-tRNA synthetases). tRNAs cope with the degeneracy of the genetic code in two manners: having more than one tRNA (with a specific anti-codon) for a particular amino acid; and 'wobble' base-pairing, i.e. permitting non-standard base-pairing at the 3rd anti-codon position.
Source: RNAcentral
GCCCGUGUAGCACAAUUGGCAGAUGCACCCGCCUCAAGAGCGGAAAAGUGACGGUUCGAAUCCAUCCACGGGCACCA